Molecule: ribosomal RNA, 427 nt
Filed under: uncultured bacterium
Lineage: Bacteria
Description: partial 16S ribosomal RNA
Rfam family: Bacterial small subunit ribosomal RNA
Source: RNAcentral
UGGGGAAUAUUGGACAAUGGGCGAAAGCCUGAUCCAGCCAUGCCGCGUGUGUGAAGAAGGUCUUCGGAUUGUAAAGCACUUUAAGUUGGGAGGAAGGGCAUUAACCUAAUACGUUAGUGUUUUGACGUUACCGACAGAAUAAGCACCGGCUAACUCUGUGCCAGCAGCCGCGGUAAUACAGAGGGUGCAAGCGUUAAUCGGAAUUACUGGGCGUAAAGCGCGCGUAGGUGGGUUGUUAAGUUGGAUGUGAAAUCCCCGGGCUCAACCUGGGAACUGCAUUCAAAACUGACUGACUAGAGUAUGGUAGAGGGUGGUGGAAUUUCCUGUGUAGCGGUGAAAUGCGUAGAUAUAGGAAGGAACACCAGUGGCGAAGGCGACCACCUGGACUAAUACUGACACUGAAGUGCGAAAGCGUGGGGAGCAAACA